ACUGUCCAGUAGUUGGAGGUCACACAGCCCCUUGCCUUAUUCUCAAAACCUAACCAUAUGGCUGGACAUUCCUGAAAUGCAUUCCUAAACCUCUGCUGCUGAGAAUAAUUGGAGCUGCCAUCUGUUCCCAGUUUAACUGCCCUGUAUACCAAACAAAUCCAAUUCAAGCCAACAGGCAAAGUAUAGGCUCAGACAGAGUCCAUCCUGUGUGCGAGGCGGUGAGCAGGGGUGGAAAAUCUCACUGUGACUCAUCCAGCUGAUUUCUGGAGCACACUAGCUGAUGCCCCUCACUUGGCACCUGUGUUGGCCCUGGCAUCAUGGACAAUAGAAACACCCAGAUGUACACAGAGGGUAGAACCAAGGCUCCAGGGACGCAGCCAAGUCCUGGCCUGAGGAUCACCAUAAAGAGGGCUGGUGUUGAGCCCAUCAUACCGGGAGUCAGCAAGGUCAUGUUUCCGGAUGCUUUGGAAGUGGGCAGCAGGAAGCACCUCUCAUCACCUUCAGGAGGGCCAGAGAAGGGGCCCAGACACAGAGAUGCAUUCAAGAAGGGGCCUUCAGAGCUCAGAACCCAGGAGCAGAGGCCUCCAGCAAGACCAGGGAAGAAACAGUCCUCUUGGGUCCCCCAGGAAGGGUCCCAGGAGCUGCAAGCAGGCCAGGAUCAGAGUGAGCUGGGGUUGCUGCCUUCCUGGGUUCCUGAAGUACCUGAAGGGCUGCAGCAGCUGGGCUCCAGAAAGGAGAUCAAGGGCCAGCAGGGGAGGCAACGAAACCAGGGAACCGGGGAGGAUCAGCCUCCUGAGAGCUGCCAGGGCUCCGGAUAUCAAUCCACCCUCGGUCACCAGGCAGACAUGGUGCAGCCAGCAGAGCCUUGCUGCUGCUUGGCCAGCCGUGGCCAGCCACUGGGAGGCAGGCACCCCAAGGAGGCAGGUGUCCCACACAUCAGGCCACAGGAGGCUCCGCCAGAGCCCAGCCCAGGAGGACAUGGGGACAGCUCUCAGGAAGCAAUGCCCCCAAUGUCCAUCGUGGCUCCAGAGGAAAAGACAGCCAACCCCUUCCUGCCAUCCACGCCUGGACCUAAAAAACCAAAAGGAGGGAGGGCAGACAACAGGCAUGAACAAAGCCAAGUGGUGGGACCAGGAGUAACUCACUCAAGACCAUGGCUCAGCCGGGUGCAGUGGAUCACGCUUGUCAUCCCAGCACUUUGGGAGGCCAAGGCGGAGGAUCACUUGAGGAGGUGAGGGACAUUGGAGAGAGGCCAGAGCCAGGCCGUGUGCAGCAGCAGCCUCAGAAGCCUGCGGUGGCUGCAGGGACACAGAGCCUCGGGAACUUCCGGCAGGGCUUCAUGAAGUGCUUGCUGGAGGUGGAGAAAAUGGAGGCCUCCCAUCGGAGAGCCUCGAAGGCCCGGUCCCAGACAGUCCAGAAGUCCCCCAGGACCCUGACCCCGGUCCCCACCUCAGCCCCAAGCCUGCCUCAGACCCCUGCCUCGGUCUCUGCCAGUGUCCCAUCGUGGGCCCAGCUGCCAGCUCCUGGGCCAGAGCCUGCCCCCAUGGGAGCCCCGGUCCCCACCUCCAUGCCUUGCCCUGUCCUGCUGGGCCCUGCCCUGGACCUGGGCUGGAGAAGGAUGGAACUCUUGCACCAGAGCAGCGAGAGAACCCUGAGCUACGCCAAGGCACGGCAGGAGCCGGAAGAGCAGAGCCUCCAAAAGCUUUAUGAAAACCGGGAGAAGUCCGAGGAGCAACUGACCCUGAAGCAAGAGGAAGUAGAGACGGAGUUUCACCAUGUUGGCCAGGCUGGUCUCGAACUCCUGAACUCAAGUGAUCCACCCGCCUCAGCCUCCCAAAGUCUAGAAUUACAGGCGUGAGCCACCACGCCCGGCCUCGUGCUAGGUCUUCUGACUCGAGGUCCAGCCCUCUCCCUGUGCCAGAGCUGCCUCUCUGAGAGAAUGACAGAUGCCCUGCACAGUGCUUUAGCCUUCCGCAACUACUUUGAGAUCUUCAAUGGCCCUGGUGAGGUAGAUGCACAGAGCCUGAAGAAUAUCCUGCUCCUAAUGGGCUUCUCUGUGACGCCGGCCCAGGUGGAGGACGCCCUGAUGAGUGCUGAUGUCAAUGGAGAUGGUCAUGUGGAUUUCAAAGACUUCUUGGCUGUGAUGACAGACACCAGGCGCUUCUUCUGCUCUGUGGAACAGAACGCCCUGUCGGACAUGGCUCCCCACAACCCCCACACUCUACUCUUUGAGAUCCUGUCCCUGCUGGUAGAGAUGCUGGCCUUACCAGAGGCAGUCUUAGAGGAAAUCACAAACUACUACCAGAAAAAGCUGAAGGAAGGCACCUGCAAGGCCCAGGAGAUGGAAGCGGCCAUAGGCCGGCUGCGGUUGCAGAAGAAGCUUCCCCACAACCCCCAGCAAGAAGAGAACUCAGAAGUCCCAGAACGAAAGGUCCUCAGUAUCCUGAGCCGGCUGAAGCAGCAGAACUAUGGCAGCCAGGCCAAGGGAGCUGAGAGGCCAGUUUCCCACUUCGGGCUUAACUGUGUACAUCAGAAAACAGGCUGAUAAUCACUAUUUUCCAUCCAGGCCUAUGACAAUGGCCUUCUGCAUUGGACUACUCCCCUCCUGCCUUAGCCUGAGCACAGCUCCCAACCUGCAGAGCCCCUAUGCCCAGGUGCCCUGCAUCCCGCUCUGCUCACGGCUGGACAAGAAGAUGGUCCGUAGGAAGCCAAGCAACCACUAUGCACUAGACCAGUGCACACCCCCUGGCCUGGAUCCUGACAUCCAUAGCCCCUUCUUCCAGUCAGGAUCUCAAGGAAACAGGGAACCAACGGUGGAGUGAGCCUGUGAGACUCAGCUUGCCACCUUGGCCACCACGUGCUGCCCUCAUCACAAAAACCACACCAACCACUCCAAAACGUAUCUGCUGGUCAGGAGCAGGGAGGCUGUCUGGCUGGCUGAGGGAUAAGGCGCAGUGCAACGGAAGGGAUCAGGAAGCCUGAGAGGAGCCAGGAAAUGUACCAGGUAUAGUUACUGAGCUGGGGCCAUCAAUGGAGAUGGAGCACUGCAGACCCCUAAGAGUUCAAGCCAUGCUGGAGUGGGAAGACCUAUCCACCUUCUGAACAUACGAGGCAGAAGGCUCAGAGUCCUGGAGGCAGACUCUCUCCUGGUUUUCCUUGUGCUGAUGGCAAAAUACUAAACAAGUCUUCUCUCCGUCACUUCUAAGCCCAGGGAUGCAAUCUCACUCCCUGGCACUCUGCUCUCUUCUAGAAGUAGUAAGCCUGGCUGGUAGGGAACCACCCUGAGGGGUAUGGGAAGGGGAAGUCGGUUCACUUUCCCUAUCUCCCAAAAUACUAGAGGUGGGGUUGGCACCCUCCCCAGGCUCUCCGAGCCUACAGAGCUAGCCCAGUCUCCAGGCAAGGCCCAGAUGCCAUGGGACUUAGCUCGGGGAGGGAGGUAUAGGCAUGGGGUGCUCAUCUGUCCUGGCGGCUGCAGAGCCCUGCCCCUUUUCCGGGCAGCAGUAGGAAUACAGAAGCUAAGCUCACCAAAAUCCUAUUGGUUAAUGUUUCUAGUGAAUUUCCCAGAAACAUUUUUAAGUAGACUACCAAACUACCCUUUCUUAAUUAAAAAUUCAUUAAACCACU
This 3624-nucleotide small RNA is filed under the name Pongo abelii (Sumatran orangutan). RNAcentral describes it as "processed transcript". Lineage: Eukaryota; Metazoa; Chordata; Mammalia; Primates; Hominidae. The record is from RNAcentral.